This 253-nucleotide ribosomal RNA is filed under the name uncultured bacterium. Its description in RNAcentral is "partial 16S ribosomal RNA". It matches the Rfam family "Bacterial small subunit ribosomal RNA", at positions 524 to 776 of the family's 1533-position model. The record is from RNAcentral.
UACGUAGGGUGCGAGCGUUGUCCGGAAUUAUUGGGCGUAAAGGGCUCGUAGGCGGUUUGUUGCGUCGGGAGUGAAAACCUCGGGCUUAACUCGGGGCUUGCUUUCGAUACGGGCAGACUUGAGGCAUUCAGGGGAGAACGGAAUUUCUGGUGUAGCGGUGAAAUGCGCAGAUAUCAGAAGGAACACCGGUGGCGAAGGCGGUUCUCUGGGAAUGUUCUGACGCUGAGGAGCGAAAGUGUGGGGAGCAAACAGG